This 556-nucleotide ribosomal RNA is filed under the name uncultured beta proteobacterium. RNAcentral describes it as "SSU rRNA". It matches the Rfam family "Bacterial small subunit ribosomal RNA", at positions 242 to 790 of the family's 1533-position model. Lineage: Bacteria; Pseudomonadati; Pseudomonadota; Betaproteobacteria. The record is from RNAcentral.
CAGCUAGUUGGUAGGGUAAAAGCCUACCAAGGCAUCGAUCAGUAGCUGGUCUGAGAGGACGGCCAGCCACACUGGAACUGAGACACGGUCCAGACUCCUACGGGAGGCAGCAGUGGGGAAUUUUGGACAAUGGGCGCAAGCCUGAUCCAGCAAUGCCGCGUGAGUGAAGAAGGCCUUCGGGUUGUAAAGCUCUUUUGUCAGGGAAGAAACGGUGGGGGCUAAUAUCCCUUGCUAAUGACGGUACCUGAAGAAUAAGCACCGGCUAACUACGUGCCAGCAGCCGCGGUAAUACGUAGGGUGCAAGCGUUAAUCGGAAUUACUGGGCGUAAAGCGUGCGCAGGCGGUUUUGUAAGUCUGUCGUGAAAUCCCCGGGCUCAACCUGGGAAUGGCGAUGGAGACUGCAAGGCUAGAGUUUGGCAGAGGGGGGUAGAAUUCCACGUGUAGCAGUGAAAUGCGUAGAUAUGUGGAGGAACACCGAUGGCGAAGGCAGCCCCCUGGGUCAAAACUGACGCUCAUGCACGAAAGCGUGGGGAGCAAACAGGAUUAGAUACCCUGG